Molecule: long non-coding RNA, 353 nt
Organism: Peromyscus eremicus (cactus mouse)
Lineage: Eukaryota; Metazoa; Chordata; Mammalia; Rodentia; Cricetidae
Exons: 2
Source: RefSeq, a predicted model, not a curated record
UGCUGAAGAUCCCCCUGGCCAGGACAACUGGCGCCCAGCUUGAGGCUCAAGGACGUGAAGGAGUGGUGAACGUCAUCACACACCAGGGCAGGCCUGCCUAAGAGUUGGACCACCGUGGAAGACGACUCCAUGAGCAAGGUCCGGUCAGUGAUCGCCACGGAAACACCCAUGAAACAGGUCUUGCAACGUGACGACACAAGAUGCUGAUAAAAAAGAACUGGGAGAAUUUCCCUGGAUAUUCUGGAUCUUGCUGCUGCCUGUACCUUCUUAUCAGGACCAGAGACCGGUCGACACAUCCCCAUUUACAUGCGCUUUUAUUUGGCUGAAAAUUAUACUAAUUAUGCUAAAACACA